AAAUUGGUAUUUAUCAUGCUGCAUCAACCGCUGCUGCGUAUUGGCGCUGACGAGCCGUGGGGCCGCCGUCUUGGACUGGUCAUCCGACCCACUCCACUCAGUGAUGUUUGGCGGGUGCAGUGCAUUUAAUCCAUCGGAACUCUCUGAA
Thalassophryne amazonica is the source of this 148-nucleotide long non-coding RNA. RefSeq lists it as uncharacterized. The transcript has 3 exons. The record is from RefSeq and is a predicted model, not a curated record. Lineage: Eukaryota; Metazoa; Chordata; Actinopteri; Batrachoidiformes; Batrachoididae.